Molecule: transfer RNA, 58 nt
Filed under: Photobacterium phosphoreum
Lineage: Bacteria; Pseudomonadati; Pseudomonadota; Gammaproteobacteria; Vibrionales; Vibrionaceae
Description: tRNA-Arg
Rfam family: tRNA
About the family: Transfer RNA (tRNA) molecules are approximately 80 nucleotides in length. Their secondary structure includes four short double-helical elements and three loops (D, anti-codon, and T loops). Further hydrogen bonds mediate the characteristic L-shaped molecular structure. tRNAs have two regions of fundamental functional importance: the anti-codon, which is responsible for specific mRNA codon recognition, and the 3' end, to which the tRNAs corresponding amino acid is attached (by aminoacyl-tRNA synthetases). tRNAs cope with the degeneracy of the genetic code in two manners: having more than one tRNA (with a specific anti-codon) for a particular amino acid; and 'wobble' base-pairing, i.e. permitting non-standard base-pairing at the 3rd anti-codon position.
Source: RNAcentral
GCGCGCGUAGCUCAGCUGGAUAGAGUACUUGGCUACGAACCAGGCGGUCGGAGGUUCG